Molecule: ribosomal RNA, 430 nt
Filed under: Aprostocetus hagenowii
Lineage: Eukaryota; Metazoa; Arthropoda; Insecta; Hymenoptera; Eulophidae
Description: eukaryotic LSU rRNA
Source: RNAcentral
CCUGAGAAACCCAAAAGAUCGAAUGGGGAGAUUCAUCGCCAGCGGCGUUGGCUUCCGUGCGGCUCGCGAUGGUCGGGACCUCGGUCUCGCGCCACGUGGUCGCCGCGGUAUGUCCGGCGUCGUUGACGUGCACUUCUCCCCUAGUAGGACGUCGCGACCCGUUGGGUGUCGGAUCAAUGGCCGGUUCGGUCGUCUGUUUGCGCCUCGGCGCUUACAGACCGAGCGGUUCAACGUCCGGCUGCCCGGCGGUAUAGAACGCUUAAUCACGGUAUUGGGCCGCAACUCGAAUGCGUUCAGGCUCGUCGGCAGGCUCGUCUCGCUCGGAUUUACGGACCUAGCGCCGUUGCCGGGCGCUUGGCGUGGCUGUUAGUCGACGAUGUCCUCGGACAGGCUCUUACCGGUCUGCGACGCUACUGCUUUGGGUACUUUC